UGACACGUGAGAUUGCUUAGAGGGGAUAACAAUUGGAACGAAUGCUAAUACCCAUAUGCUUUCGAGUGAAAUGGAUUUAUAUUUAUCCGCCUAGAGAGAAGCUCGCGGNUGAUUAGCUUGUUGGUAAGGUAAGAGCUUACCAAGGCGACGAUCAGUAUCUGGUUUGAGAGGACGAUCAGACACACUGGAACUGAGACACGGUCCAGACUCCUACGGGAGGCAGCAGUGGGGAAUUUUCCGCAAUGGGCGAAAGCNUGACGGAGCAAUACCGCGUGAGGGAAGACUGCCUAUGGGUUGUAAACCUCUUUUUUCAGGGAGGAAUCAAUGACGUGUACCUGAAGAAUAA
Molecule: ribosomal RNA, 346 nt
Filed under: uncultured cyanobacterium
Lineage: Bacteria; Bacillati; Cyanobacteriota
Description: bacterial SSU rRNA
Rfam family: Bacterial small subunit ribosomal RNA
Source: RNAcentral